Molecule: unclassified non-coding RNA, 352 nt
Filed under: uncultured fungus
Lineage: Eukaryota; Fungi
Description: partial contains small subunit ribosomal RNA, internal transcribed spacer 1, and 5.8S ribosomal RNA
Rfam family: Eukaryotic small subunit ribosomal RNA (bases 1-73)
Source: RNAcentral
GCAAACUUGGUCAUUUAGAGGAAGUAAAAGUCGUAACAAGGUAACCGUAGGUGAACCUGCGGUUGGAUCAUUACUGAGUGCGAAAAAAAUUUUCCCAAUUGUGAACUGUUACAUUUCUUUGGUGGCCCACAAACAUGUGGGCGCGUCUUAUUACUUAGCUACUCACUUGAUCGAUGUCUUGAGAGUUGGCCAUUUUAAGAUGCAACUUCGGGCCACCUAAUUAUGUUAAAUUCCUUGUUUUAAGUAUAUUUUGUCUUUUACAGGAUUCGCGUUAUCCAGUGGAUCCAACAAUAAAACAAGAACAACUUUGGACAAUGGAUCUCUUGGCUCUUGCAUCGAUGAAGAACGCAGC